GAUUGGUCUGCAUGUUGACAAUGUCGUAGACCUUGAUCAGGUUGUUUAGUGAACAAAAGAGACCCGUUGAUAGUGAAGUGAAGGAGUGAAUCACAAAACAUAACACUUCCGAAGCGAACGAGUAAGACAAACUUCAGUAACACAUUCUGUUAGGGAACUAAUGUAGAAACAGAAGUGUAAUUUACAAUUAUAACAAGAGACGAUGGAUCAAACAACAGACGUAAGUGAAGAGUGUAGUUAACACAACAAUACAGUCGUACACAUGGCAUCAAAUAGAAGGCAACGCGGGACGAAUCAAUAACAAAACGAAGGUGCAGAAACUUCUGUAACGGACAAAGCUUCUGUUAGUAUUUUUGGCGGAUAAGUGGGGGAGAGACCAGCUAUUGAUCGUGAAAGUCAAGGGGAGAAAUCUUUUACAUUGUAAAGUAUUCGGUUAUAACAUAAUAAUCUCUAUUCGGAUAGGCCUCGUUUCCGCGAAACCAAUGGGUUUUACUAGAGGGGGCUCUACGUGAAGUUGGCCGAACGUUACGACAACCUUGUUCAAACGUGUAUUAUAACGUUUCCGAUUAACCCACAUCCAGAAAACCUGAGGCUCCCAAGAAGUGGAAACCCUAUUCCUGGUACUACCACAGUAAGGUAGGAAGGGCCUAUAUCGGCGGUGUUUUGUACACAUUGUGAAGUACGUGGUGUGAUAGCGCUUGGUCGACGGUUAUGAAGAACAUUUUCUUUCAAUAAUGUUAUGAUAGGCACCUACGACCUCGACAAAGAAAAAGUAGUAAUUUUUAUAAAGGUACGUAUAGAAGUUUAUCGUAAGAUUAAGACAAAAAAAGCACGUGCGGUUUUACGCGGUUUCACUUUGUUUAAAUCGCAAAGCCGGUAGAGGAAUUCGGAUAGUUAUGCCCUGGAAACGUAGGUGUGGGACAAGAAACAUAUCCUCAAAUAAGUGUACAGAAAUAUAUGAUGAGAGGUAAAGUGCUAUAUCACGCGAGCGCAAAAAAUUCUAAAUUCAAACUUUUUACGUAUGUGUAAUAUAAUACCUUGCCUCCCUCAUGGUAGAAGAGAAUAGAAAUAAUACCUUAGCGUGUCGUGUUGGUCUGUUAGGUGGCGGCGAAGGGGUAGCUAGCUAGUAGUAGCAGCAGCGCCGCCGAAAUAGGUGGGUGUUCAAGCAGGUGGGUGUUUUUGUUUUGUUUAUCGUGUCGCGUUGAGAGAGAGAGAGAGAGACGGCGGCUAGUUUGGUGAUGGUCGUGCGAGUGUUUUUCUUAGCGGUGGGUUUUUAGCACCUGGAGUUGGGGUGUGAGGGUAGAAGGGCGGCGCUCGCUCGCGCAGGGGAAACUGAGUCGUCUGCCGCUGUGGUGGGCGGCUGCACAGGGGCGGCCGCGCGGCGCGUCCAGCAUAGGUAGGUAGGUGCACAAGGCCGUGUCGCUUAGGCAGAGGAGGAGGUGUGGGCAAAGGGAGCGCCGGGGCUGAGGCGGGCGGACCUGCUGAGGCCGAGCGCCCGCCGAUAUUUAGCGGGCGGGAAAGGAAGGGCUCGAGGUGAGGCAAAGGGGGAGCAAAAUUUAGGCUAAGCCGGGGGCUAAGCCGUUGGGUCGGGCUGGGUGGACAAGACAAGGGGUCAUUGCUCUUCGAUUUAUUUAGGUAUUUAGGGACCGUCUCUCUCCCUCUCCUCGGUCCGCUAGCUAGGGCCACCGCCGCUCUCCGCUCCUCUCCGCCGGCCGCUUCGUUACGGAAUGACGCUCCACCUGGCCAUGGUCCGGCCGCUGUUCACCCUCCCGCAGGCGGAGAAGAUGGCGGCGAUGCCGGCGCCGCGGUGGUUCCACGAGGAGCAGUAGCCAGACCGCCCCUGCGUGCUGAGCACCCCGGGCGUCUAUUCCCCCGACUGGCCCAGGUACCUCGGCCGCCUGCCGCCGCUGCACGGGCUCGGGCGGCGCUCCUGCCUGCUCCUCCGGCGGCGCGGCCGCUGCCGCUGCCGCGGCCUCCUCCUCCUGCAGCCGCUCCCGUAGCUCCAGACGACGAAGCUGUUGGCGCCGCAGCCGGCGUCGUCGUAGGGGGGCGUGUUUAGGAUGAUGAGCUGCCGCUAGUACCGCUCCCUGCGCGACCGGAACUACCUGGUAGACCCCACCUUCUUUCGGGUGCAGAAGCCGGUGAGGUACCCGCGCUACUAGAGGACGUUCGAGCGUCGCUACCGCGGAGUGGCCGACAGGAGCGACCGCAACGAGUUGCAGUGGCCGCCGCCCUACCUCACAAAGGGGUUCCAUCUACGUGUCUACGAUAGAGAGCGCAAGGCCAAGAAUUCCCGCUCCUGAGGCCUCGUUUCUCGAGAACACCUGAACCUUUGGGUGAUAUGCUUCCUUAUGGAGCUACUCCUUCAACUUAGGACGUGUUCCUCUCGCUAGGAUAUAUUCCUUAUACACUUUCCGUAUAGUAGAAGUCCCUACGUUAGAUUAACGCCCAAACUUCCAGUUUAAUUGCGCACGACCUGAGUGUUUCACUGUUGAUUUCUCGAUCUAUGUUAAGCACGACGGCCAAAAGACCAAAGUCAAUAAGUACCUUCUGUACUAUAAUAACGCGUUCAUACAGUACGCUCCGCCGAACGUGUUUCCGAAGAAGGACAACGAUCUUACCAUCUAGAAGUACCACGUGUAGAUCAGUCGGUACUUUCUGGUGUUCUCCAGUUGUUGCGCGACUACCUAGACUAUUUCCGGUGGUUCAGCCGCUGCCGCGGCGUGCUCACCAGCAGGGUCGGUCUUUUGUGUAGUCUUUGGCCACGGGAAUAAAGACGUUCCGGACAUUGGGAGCGCUAUGCUUGUCCGCUUCGGCCGUUGCGACGGCAUCGUCGCAUAUUGGAUGAACGUUUCAACGUUGAUUCGAAAGAAAUACAGUAUCCGGACCAUCACUACCGCAAACUCGUGUACUCCUUGUAACAUUCUCAUUGCUUCGGGCACUCCCAGCGCCGCUAGCUCAGUAGUAUUUCUUUGUUUUCUGUACAUUUAAUAUGGGGGCUUCGGCCGCUCCUCUAGUAUAAAGUACAGAGGAGGCAUAUGGUAGGCGCCUCUACUCUGCCUAAAUCUCAUCGUAGAGGCGUUCUUAGCUUGGAUAAAAGGGAGGAGGGAACUCUUUCCGGGAGACGAGAGCCGUCUUUGUUGCAAAGCUCUGACUUCUUGUCUCCUCGACAUGGACGCAACGCGUGGACCCGUCUUCGCAGUGCCCCGCACCACUAACUCUACACGACGGUAUGUAACAUAAUCGAGCCUCUCUCGUUUACCUAGCCUACAUGGAAACACACUACUCACAUUAAUUCGACACUGGUUAUACAUGUGCCGGCGUACAACGCAACGCACCCACGACAGCGGCAAGAACACAUGAGGUAACAACACGACACUAGUAAGGAAACUUAUUUAGCCGAGCUAGAAGUGAAACGA
RNAcentral lists this ribosomal RNA (3419 nucleotides) under Triticum aestivum (bread wheat). RNAcentral's name for it is "partial small subunit ribosomal RNA". The record is from RNAcentral. Lineage: Eukaryota; Viridiplantae; Streptophyta; Magnoliopsida; Poales; Poaceae.